GAUGAAGAACGCAGCGAAAUGCGAUACUUGGUGUGAAUUGCAGAAUCCCGUGAACCAUCGAGUCUUUGAACGCAAGUUGCGCCCGAAGCCAUUAGGCCGAGGGCACGCCUGCCUGGGCGUCACACGUCGUUGCCCCCCCAUCUACUCCUUCGGGAUUGCGGGGGGCGGAUGAUGGCCUCCCGUGCGCCUCGCCGCGCGGUUGGCAUAAAUGCCAAGUCCUCGGCGACGCACGCCACGACAAUCGGUGGUUGCGAAACCUCGGUUGCCCGUCGUGUGCGGUCGUCGCGCAUCGAGGGCUCGAAAAAAUUGCCGGGUUCCGGCUCGGCUUUCAACGCAACCCCAGGUCAGGCGGGGUUACCCGCUGAAUUUAAGCAUAUCAAUAAGCGGAGGA
RNAcentral lists this unclassified non-coding RNA (391 nucleotides) under soil metagenome. Its description in RNAcentral is "partial contains 5.8S ribosomal RNA, internal transcribed spacer 2, and large subunit ribosomal RNA". The stretch from base 1 to 122 matches the Rfam family "5.8S ribosomal RNA", at positions 35 to 154 of the family's 154-position model. The record is from RNAcentral.